UGCUUAUAAUAUUUUCCAUCAUGUGGAGGAAUUCAUUAACAUCAAGGUUUACCGGGCGUCAACAAGAUUUUUGUUAGCAAUUUGGAUCCUAAUGUCACUGAUGAUCAUCUGAGGCAAGUUGUCAGCCAGUACGGAGAAUUAGUUCAUGUGAAGAAUCCAGCAUGCAAGCUGACGUGGGUUUGUCCAACUUGCAGACAGUUAUGCAGAAGAGGCACUACGAAUUUUAAAUGAAACGCUAUUGGGUGGACAAAAUGUUCGUCUUUCACGGGGCCACAGUCCUUCAAACAUUCGGG
Molecule: long non-coding RNA, 293 nt
Organism: Gastrolobium bilobum
Lineage: Eukaryota; Viridiplantae; Streptophyta; Magnoliopsida; Fabales; Fabaceae
Exons: 3
Source: RefSeq, a predicted model, not a curated record